RNAcentral lists this ribosomal RNA (1827 nucleotides) under human gut metagenome. RNAcentral's name for it is "bacterial LSU rRNA". It matches the Rfam family "Bacterial large subunit ribosomal RNA", at positions 643 to 2487 of the family's 2925-position model. The record is from RNAcentral.
AGGUUAAGCACUUAAGGUGUGGAGCCGUAGCGAAAGCGAGUCUUAAAUGGGCGUCCAGUUACCCGACGUAGACCCGAAACCAGGCGACCUAUCCAUGAGCAGGUUGAAGCGAAAGUAAAAUUUCGUGGAGGACCGAACCCACGAGCGUUGAAAAGCUCGGGGAUGACUUGUGGAUAGCGGUGAAAUUCCAAUCGAGCCCGGAGAUAGCUGGUUCUCCCCGAAAUAGCUUUAGGGCUAGCCUCAAGCUUAGAGAAACGGAGGUAGAGCACUGAAUGUCCUAGGGGGUAUUGCACUUACCGAAGACUAUCAAACUCCGAAUGCCGUUUUCUUUUACUUGGGAGUCAGACUGUGGGUGAUAAGAUUCAUAGUCAAAAGGGCAACAGCCCAGAUCGUCAGCUAAGGUCCCUAAAUGUAAGUUAAGUGGUAAAGGAUGUGGAAUUGCACAGACAACCAGGAUGUUGGCUUAGAAGCAGCCACUCAUUUAAAGAGUGCGUAAUAGCUCACUGGUCGAGUGAUUCUGCGCCGAAAAUUUCCGGGGCUAAAACUUACUACCGAAGCUACGGCAUCAUUAUGAUGGGUAGGGGAGCUUUCUAUGUGGCUUGAAGCAUGACCGUAAGGACAUGUGGACUGCAUAGAAGUGAGAAUGUUGGCAUGAGUAGCGAGAUGUGGGUGAGAAUCCCACAGGCCGUAAACCCAAGGUUUCCAGGGGAAGGUUCGUCCGCCCUGGGUUAGUCGGGACCUAAGCCGAGGCCGAAAGGCGUAGGUGAUGGACAACAGGUUGAUAUUCCUGUACCACCAAUAACCGUUUGAGAAAUGGGAUGACACAGUAGGAUAAGCUAACCGCACUGUUGGUUAUGUGCGGGCAAGUAUUGAGGCAGUUCCGAUAGGCAAAUCCGUCGGAAUAAUGCUGGGGUACGAUGCGGAGCGAAAUUUAGUAGCGAAGUAGCUGAUUUCACACUGUCGAGAAAAGUCUCUAUCGAGGUUAAAGGUGCCUGUACCGCAAACCGACACAGGUGGGUGAGGAGAGUAUCCUAAGGCCAGCGAGAGAACUGUUGUUAAGGAACUCGGCAAAAUGACCCCGUAACUUCGGGAGAAGGGGUGCCUUCGAAAGAAGGCCGCAGAGAAUAGGCCCAAGCGACUGUUUACCAAAAACAUAGGUUUCUGCUAAGUCGCAAGACGAUGUAUAGGAGCUGACGCCUGCCCGGUGCUGGAAGGUUAAGGGGAUCUGUUAGAGCAAUCGAAGCAGUGAACUUAAGCCCCAGUAAACGGCGGCCGUAACUAUAACGGUCCUAAGGUAGCGAAAUUCCUUGUCGGGUAAGUUCCGACCCGCACGAAAGGCGUAACGAUUUGGGCACUGUCUCAACAAUAGACUCGGUGAAAUUGUAAUCCCGGUGAAGAUGCCGGGUACCUGCGACAGGACGGAAAGACCCCAUGGAGCUUUACUGUAGCUUGACGUUGGGUCUUGGUACUACAUGUACAGGAUAGGUGGGAGACUAUGAAGCAUGGACGCCAGUCUGUGUGGAGUCAUCCUUGGGAUACCACCCUUGUAGUACUGGGAUCCUAACCAUAGGCCUUGAAUCAGGUCUUGGAACACCGUCAGGUGGGCAGUUUGACUGGGGCGGUCGCCUCCUAAAAAGUAACGGAGGCGCUCAAAGGUUUCCUCAGCACGGUCGGAAAUCGUGCGAAGAGUGUAAAGGCAAAAGGAAGCUUGAUUGCAAGACAUACAGGUCGAGCAAGGACGAAAGUCGGACUUAGUGAUCCGGUGGUACCGCAUGGAAGGGCCAUCGCUCAACGGAUAAAAGCUACCCUGGGGAUAACAGGCUUAUC